RNAcentral lists this transfer RNA (89 nucleotides) under bacterium. RNAcentral describes it as "tRNA-Leu". It matches the Rfam family "tRNA". Rfam says of the family: Transfer RNA (tRNA) molecules are approximately 80 nucleotides in length. Their secondary structure includes four short double-helical elements and three loops (D, anti-codon, and T loops). The record is from RNAcentral.
GCCCAGGUGGUGGAAUCGGCAGACACAGCGGACUUAAAAUCCGCCGACCAUAAAACGUUGUACGGGUUCAAGUCCCGUCUUGGGCACCA